RNAcentral lists this transfer RNA (73 nucleotides) under Babesia rodhaini. Its description in RNAcentral is "tRNA-Ile". It matches the Rfam family "tRNA". From Rfam's summary of the family: Transfer RNA (tRNA) molecules are approximately 80 nucleotides in length. Their secondary structure includes four short double-helical elements and three loops (D, anti-codon, and T loops). Lineage: Eukaryota; Apicomplexa; Aconoidasida; Piroplasmida; Babesiidae. The record is from RNAcentral.
AGAUUUUUAGCUUAACGGUCGAAGCAUACCUUUGAUAAGGGUAAGAUAUUUGGUUCAAUUCCAAAAAAAUCUA